Long non-coding RNA from Scylla paramamosain (green mud crab), 2606 nucleotides. RefSeq lists it as uncharacterized. NCBI's taxonomy places the organism in Eukaryota, Metazoa, Arthropoda, Malacostraca, Decapoda, Portunidae. The transcript is spliced from 3 exons. The record is from RefSeq and is a predicted model, not a curated record.
AGCUCUGCCGGAGAGAGAAGGGAAGCCAUGGUGCUGAUGGUAUCGCAAUGAAAGCUACAUAAUAUAAUGUGAUGUAAUAAUAUAAUAAUAAUGUUGUCACGGUUUUCAGAAAGUUUCGCUUGGUGGCGACAUAAGUGUUCACUGGUGGCUGUGGCGAUGUGUCAGUGUGCAUUGUUAUGGCCUGUGUGUGUGUGUGUGUGUGUGUGUGUGUGUGUGUGUGUGUGUGUGUAGCUGUUUGUGUGACAAAGGCUCAUUCAUGCAGAAUACCUUGAUAUAUAUUUUCAUUUAUUGUUUAAUGCAGUAUGUCUGUUUGAGUAACUUUUGCUUAUUACUAUAUUGAUAACAGUAGAGUUUCUUUUGAAUUUGUGUUGUCAUUACAUUUCAAUGUUUUAUUUUCAUGAAGUAAAUCAUGGUUUGUCCUGUUCCUACAAAUGGUGAUACUGGUGUCGCCUCCAUGAGACACUUUGCCUGCAGAUGGUGCACACACCACCAAUUUAUGUGUCUGCCACACCCAUGUACAUGUGCUAGUGGUUGGAAUGCAAGCUUCUGUCGCCAGAGACAAAAGACCUGGUAGUUUGAGGCAGUGUUGAGCCAUUACUUGCAGCUGCAACUAGCCAGGCUAGAUGAAAACUGUGGUCUCUCAUAAAGCCCUCAACAGUCAGGUGACAGUGUGGGCUCUCCCGAGGCAAGUGUACACCGUGUGAAUGUACACACUCGAAAGCCACCGUGACUGACGCAUUGCCUGUCCGGCAGGUGGCGUCCCUCGUCAGGUGCCCGCACAGUGCCCCAUCACUGAGCAGCAGCUUGGGGGAGCAGUCCAGACACCACCACAGCCUCGCCCCAAGCCUGGUGACUGCUGUUAUUUGCUUCACAAUGUUGGUGUAGAAAAAUCAGGUUGCCGCAGGACAUCAUCAGCGAGCUCAGAAAGCAAGCAAAGGGAUUGAGGUAGCAGACCCUGAAGAGUCCACAGCAGCUGAAAACUCCAUUUCUCCAUAUGCAAGCCCUGAAGUGCAGGAGUUUAUCAGAGGACAGCAGUUCCAAUCUUCACCUUUGGCUAAGGCAAACUUCCAUCCAAGCAGGCUGGAGCAAACAAACUCACAGUUCUGAGGAAGAGCAGACACCACGUCGAAGGGAGAGACUCUGUGGCAUGCAUUUGAUGCAGUGACCGUCAGAGAAUCUCUCCAUUUUGACCCGGCCUCCGAUUCCAUCAUUGGUACGAAGGAUUUUGGAGACCGUGGCAAGAGUCUGAAGCAGGCAAACCAUGUACUUGUGUUCAUGGCUAAAGGGUUGGCCAGGAAGUGGAAAGUGGUUAGGUUAGGUUAGAUCAGGUUAUGUUAGGAUAGGUCAGGUCAGGUCAGAUAAGGUCAGGUUAGGAUUGCCUUAUUUUAAGCUCUCGUCUCCAUUCAAGUACAAACAACGAGCACUUCCGCGUUCCCCGCCCACAAACCCCUCUUCCCAACGAGUCCCCAAGGUCGCCGGGGGACGAGAGAAGAAGAGGCUGCAGAGUGAAGUGAUUCCACUGUGUUUUGUGCUCAAAAUCGUCCAUAACAUAAACAAUCAAUGACGGACAUCACAGUUUUGUAGUUUGCGGUUUGGUCGUACUGUAGCAAUUCAUCCUCCUCAGGCACGGGUUGGUUAGGUUAGGUUAUGCCUGCUUAGGAUAGGUGGCUUAGGGUAGGCUAGGUUAGCUUAGGUUAAAACCCUUCAGAGAGUCUCUUGGGGCCUUUAGCAGAGCUCGGCUCGGGGAACACGUCGCGUUCACCUCCCAGCCCCUCCACGCUGCCGCCAGUCAGCACGUGGCUCAAGACUCGUCGUCAGGAGCAGGACUAAACAGCCGAUCGUUUAAAGAAUCACAUCGUGCUCAUUUUUUCAAGUGUUGGGAUGAUGUGAGUUGUGCACUUUUGUUUGCUGGUCUCCCUGUGAAUUGCAUGUUUACAUUUUUGAUGAGUGCUUGCCUUCAAGUAGGAUCUGAUGCACUCAGUGUAAAUACAAGACUGAUUUUGUGACACCUGUGAGUGCUUUCAAGAACACUUAUCAGUCUACCACCAGACUGCAACACUGCCCGUGCUGGCGAGGUGCUGCUUAAACUGAGCGGCUGGGCAGUCAGGCGUGCAUUUUGCACUGGCCACACCGACGCAAAGCAUUACCGGUGUUCACCUGACAGCCGCAGGGUGUCCACGGACGUGACCAUGAGGACUGUCCACAGUAGGCCCAAUGACAAGCUGAGGAGUGAAUUUGCUUGCUCUGUGGAGAUUCAGGGGAACCACAAUUGUCCCCUUGGCCCUGCUGAUGCCCUCGGUGAACCAAGGGUGCCCUCAGCUACACCAGAGCUAUUUGAGAGCCAUUUGAACCAAAACCCUUAAGUUAUCAUUAUUAUUAUUAUUAUUAUUAUUAUUAUUAUUAUUAUUAUUAUUAUUAUCAUUAUUAUUAUUAUUAAUUCUUUUUAUUUAUCUGUUUGUUAUUUUCCGGUGAAAAGCAGCACUGGAUAGGGAUUGUGGGGGAGAGAAAGAGCAGGGUGAAGAUAGAGGUGUUUCAUUUCCUGAAUGUUUCAACAAGCUGCCUUCACGGGGAACAAAUUGUCGCCGAAGAAGACAGCUUGAAAAAAU